Molecule: long non-coding RNA, 336 nt
Organism: Triticum dicoccoides
Lineage: Eukaryota; Viridiplantae; Streptophyta; Magnoliopsida; Poales; Poaceae
Exons: 2
Source: RefSeq, a predicted model, not a curated record
UUUUGACAUUAUAUAUUGUCCCUCUGGCUCUUGUUGGAAUGUAUACUGAAAGAAUGGACGGAAGGUCUGUCAUCGCUUGUUUUCUGAUGAUGCUUGUGUUGUUCGAAAGCGCAUCUGCAGACUGUGAGGAUGUUCAUUUUCAGAUCUUGUUCUGCGUCAAAUCAUCAUGCGAGGAUAUAUGCAAGUAUCAGUGGAAGGGUAAGAAGGUCUACAAGCCUUGGUGCGAUAAGUUCUUCGGUGGCUACUGCCACUGCAAGAUUUGCCAUGAUGAAUAGAACUUAAUGGAUAUGUUAGGUGCACUUCAUGCUAGAAAUAAAUAAUACAUAACUUUGUGUC